RNAcentral lists this long non-coding RNA (342 nucleotides) under Bos taurus (domestic cattle). Its description in RNAcentral is "long non-coding RNA NONBTAT017493". Lineage: Eukaryota; Metazoa; Chordata; Mammalia; Artiodactyla; Bovidae. The record is from RNAcentral.
AUCGUUGGUUGCCCACUAUUUACCAAAUGUUGAGCACAGGCAUGACCCUUACUCCACCUUAGCCCCGUUAUGUUUCAAUAGCUGGACCAUUGAGUAUGAGCUACCUACCUCAGCGUCAUGACUCCAGACUUAGAAAUUCAUCCAAGGCUAGAGAAAUAGUUGAUGCCAUUCUGAUCAAGGCUAAUUGUGUCCCUGCCUCUAUCUUUCUAGUCUAGAAAGGAACUUGCCUUCCUCAGUUACUCUCUAGACACUGUUACCUUUUAGUGCCCUUCCUUUCAUUUAAUUGUUAAUUUUCUUGCUUUCCUUUGGCUCCUUUUCUAUUGACAUGUGCUCUUGUCUUUU